Molecule: ribosomal RNA, 460 nt
Filed under: uncultured bacterium
Lineage: Bacteria
Description: partial 16S ribosomal RNA
Rfam family: Bacterial small subunit ribosomal RNA
Source: RNAcentral
UGGGGAAUUUUGGACAAUUGGGCGAAAGCCUGAUCCAGCAAUGCCGCGUGUGUGAAGAAGGCCUUCGGGUUGUAAAGCACUUUUGUCCGGAAAGAAAUCCUUGGCUCUAAUACAGUCGGGGGAUGACGGUACCGGAAGAAUAAGCACCGGCUAACUACGUGCCAGCAGCCGCGGUAAUACGUAGGGUGCAAGCGUUAAUCGGAAUUACUGGGCGUAAAGCGUGCGCAGGCGGUUUGCUAAGACCGAUGUGAAAUCCCCGGGCUCAACCUGGGAACUGCAUUGGUGACUGGCAGGCUAGAGUAUGGCAGAGGGGGGUAGAAUUCCACGUGUAGCAGUGAAAUGCGUAGAGAUGUGGAGGAAUACCGAUGGCGAAGGCAGCCCCCUGGGCCAAUACUGACGCUCAUGCACGAAAGCGUGGGGAGCAAACAGGAUUAGAUACCCUGGUAGUCCACGCCCUAAA